This is a long non-coding RNA of Diceros bicornis minor, 1389 nucleotides long. RefSeq lists it as uncharacterized. Lineage: Eukaryota; Metazoa; Chordata; Mammalia; Perissodactyla; Rhinocerotidae. The record is from RefSeq and is a predicted model, not a curated record. The transcript has 7 exons.
UGCUGCAAUGCCCACAGCAGCCACGGGCGAAGCAGCUCUGGUGAUGGGAAGCCCUUGAGGAGGAAGACAGCAGCGGAGGGCCAGGGGGCUGCCACGUGCAUAUGGACAUCAGCACCAAGGACACCGGAGGCCCCCGUGGAGCAGCAAGGAACACGGAUGUACAGGAUCAGCAGCUGGAGGACAACUUGGCACAGACGAGACUCAAUGCAUCGUGGUUGUUUUUUAAACUAAAUCCAUGAGUGGAUGAAUGAAACAGUGGAAGCCCUCCAGGGAUUAGUAAUCAGACCCCAAAACCUUUAUUCCUCAGGAUGGACAGCUGAACCUUACCCCGGCUGCAGAAGGGAUGGAGAAGGGCUGGAGGAGCCACUGCAGUCCAAGGAGGCCUGGAGGCGGGGAUGAGGAGGCUACAGAGUGAGCUGUGAGGAUAGACACCAAGGACUCCGAGACCCACAGAAGGAGAGUCCCUUGGAAACAGAGCCACGAGUGCAGGCACCACCCUUGGAGGGUCACUUGGAGUGGAAGGAAGCGAGGGGGCAAGGAAGACACAGAUGUCGUCCAUGUGGAUCUUGGAGUUCAGAUCAGGAUAGGGAGAGGAGAUGGAUAAAUGGAAAGUAUCCAGCAUAAUCCCAUAUACCAACAUCCAGCUGCAACUAGUGUAUUACGUUUCUAUCGCUGCUGUGACAAAUUACCACAAAUUUAGUGGCUUAAGAUAACACCCAUUGGUUACCUCCCAGUUCUGUAGGUAAGUCCAGUGCAGUGUGGCUCGGCUGGGUCCUCUGCUCAGGUGUCACGGGGGCCAAAAUCAAGGCGUCAGCAGCGCUGCAUCCCUUUCUGGAGGCUCUGGGGAAGAAUCCACUCAUUCAGGCUGUGGUAGAAUCCAGCUCCUUGCGGUUGGAGGGCUGAGAUCCUCAUUUGCUGGUUGACAGCCAGGAGUUGUUCUCAGCUUCUGGAGGUGACCUUGUUUCUGGGCUCAUGACUGCCUUCCUCUGUCUUCCAAGACAGCGAUGGCUGGUUGAGUCCUUCUUACCCUUCGUCCUCAUCUCAUCUGCUUUUUCUUUCCUUCUCUCUGCCUUUCCCCUUUGUUUUUAAGGGCCCAUCUGGAAAGCCCAGGAUAAAGAGUCUUCUUGUUUUAAGGAUGCCAGCAAGAUGCUUCACUGAUGCAGCAAGGUCUCCAGCCAUGAUCCCCCGCUCAUGUCUGGAUGCCGUGCAAGAUGCAGUCCCUGCAUCCCCCGUGGGACCUGACAGUGUCUGGAACAGAGCAGGUACUCAACAGAGACUUGACAGAUGAUGGACGUUCCUCCACGACUGAGUAUCCUGCCCACAUCCCUGGACCAAGGGACACCCGAAAUCUACCAGGGCAGGGGCACACAUCAGGACUGCAUUAUCUUC